UGGCCUUUCCUGAACCUCCUUUCAUGUUCUCUGCCCCAUCUACACACCACAUUUUCGCCCUCAGUGAAUUCAGACACUUUCAGUUUAGAGGAUAAUGCCCUCUGAACAACCUCAGGCCAAAAGGGCAGAGACAGAGAAGCCUCUGGAGGUUCGGAAGGACAGAUUCAUCAGACGGCAGAGCCGGAAGCGAUUUUACACCCCUUCUGCAGGAGUGAGAGGAGUAGCUGUUUGACCCCCGCUGCCUCAGCUGAGGCCAAAAGGCACGGCUGAUUUCCACUUAAGGAUGUCAAAGAGG
Molecule: long non-coding RNA, 295 nt
Filed under: Homo sapiens (human)
Lineage: Eukaryota; Metazoa; Chordata; Mammalia; Primates; Hominidae
Description: long non-coding RNA NONHSAT195095
Source: RNAcentral